RNAcentral lists this transfer RNA (71 nucleotides) under Bos taurus (domestic cattle). It matches the Rfam family "tRNA". From Rfam's summary of the family: Transfer RNA (tRNA) molecules are approximately 80 nucleotides in length. Their secondary structure includes four short double-helical elements and three loops (D, anti-codon, and T loops). RNAcentral also lists the same sequence under 4 other names. The record is from Rfam by way of RNAcentral. Lineage: Eukaryota; Metazoa; Chordata; Mammalia; Artiodactyla; Bovidae.
CCCUGGUGGUUUAACUGGUAAAGAAUCUGCCUGCAAUGCAGGAGGCCCUGGUUUGAUUCCUGGGUCAGGAA